CUGCUGGAGUGACGCUUCAGAGUUUCCAAUAUCUUGCUCUUGUGCUGGGAAGUAAUGGCGGGAAGAUAGUCAGGCGAUGACAGUUCUUUCGUUUCAGGUGUUGCGAAGGUUAAUAUAUCAUAUUAACUUGUCACGGAGGUCGAGGGGUUAGACAACCUUCCCCACAUUAUUAUAUGAAAACAGCCAAUAGAAAUUUCAAGCAAGCCUAAUAAUAUGCACUUAUCUUCUUGGUUCAUGUGGCAUCGUUACUUCAAAUAACAUAAGGAGUAGACAAGCAUUCCAGCGAGCAUUAAUAUGACCUUGAAUGACACUGCUAUUCUAAUUGGUCAGGAGUUAGGACAGUAGAAUCUCAUAAUGAUCAAGACACAUGAGGCACUGGGAAUAGAUCCAAUUGCAUGAGUUUCACCCAACUAAAAGUAAACUGCAUAUCGAACGAUGUUUUCUAUACUUCCCGAGAUUAUAUUAUUAACAGAGCAUAGUACACGUAAAAUACAACACGACCCGAAUCAACCAAUCUGUCGAGCCACGACCUUGUGCAUUCUUGCCAUGACUCCAACCAAGCCACAAGAAGAUCCUUUGGUAUGUAACAGUUCUCACAGCGCUACAAUCGUGAGCUCACGGCAUCACUUUUGGCGCCAUUGAAUCUUUCAAAUCGCUGGAGCAAAGCAUCAGAGUUCCAGUUCCUUGCUCUCACACUUUGGACGUUAAACAAUUAUGUACAAGUAUAUGAGUUCUACCUUUCCGAGUAUUUUUGUUCUGAGAUCAACAAAUCCUCCGCAAGGGGAUCGAAAUUCACCUGGUGAACAUGACAAUUGCAAUGACAAUGAGCAGCACGACCGAGCAUACCAUUGCCUGC
Long non-coding RNA from Rhodamnia argentea, 856 nucleotides. RefSeq lists it as uncharacterized. The transcript is spliced from 2 exons. The record is from RefSeq and is a predicted model, not a curated record. Lineage: Eukaryota; Viridiplantae; Streptophyta; Magnoliopsida; Myrtales; Myrtaceae.